GAGGGGGAGGGCAUCAAGCAUGUCUCACAUCCACCACACUUACCAUGGGCGCGCAGGGUCAUCAAUCACAACCCUGUCCUGCUCCAGCUUGGCAGCACAAGGCUCCGAGAAGCAGCGUCAGUACGGUCAGCGCUGCGCGCUGCUACGAGAAGAGCGAUACAGGCGCGGCUCAAUAUGUGCGCUGGAGAAUAACGAGUGGGCGGAGCUCAGCAUCGUGUGUGCUGACGAGUUGGCGGUAGAGUGGUGGCGAGAGGACGCACGAAAAAGCAACAAUGCAGGCCCUACGGAGCCGCGUCCUACGCGGUACACCUAUCGGUACAGGGCAGGAACAACGGUGUCUGUGCUGCCUGUGGGCCAAUCGACGGAGGCCCUCAAUGGCAGCCUCACUGCGGCAGUCGGGACUGUCAAUGCCGAAGAGAAUCAGCUGAGGCUGUGGGAGUGGGAGAACCGUGCCGACUUGCAGGAAUGGGAACUUGGCGAGCGACAGGAGAUCGCCCAGGCAAUGCAGAGUAUCCUGGUGGCGCAGCGCGAGCUCCAGCUUGCCCAUCUGGAAGCUGCGUGUAGGCGUGUGAUGAACGGGACGACGGCGCUCGACUGGACGUCGUACCCACGCUACGACCGGCCGGAGCUGCUCUCAUGAUCCCCUCGAAGAGUUGCUAUGCGUAAAGAAUCUGGUGAGAGGGCAGACUUCAGGAGGAUAGGAAAGCGCAGCGAAAUGCAGGUUUUGCCUUUGCUCGCACAUUGUACAUGCAUGUGUGUUGUUGGUGCCCGGCUCCCAUGACAUUCGUGCACUUGUGUGCGCGUCGCUUUCGCCUUUCCGUUUCGCUUCUCCCUUUGGAAUUUGCCGACGCGUCUUUCCCUUUUUCGCUCUCCCACUUCCAUGCGCGUGUGCGCUUGCCGAGGUGUGGGCAGUCGGGCGAUGUGUGCGUUAUCUGCGGGCUCCGUGUUGCGUCUACGCAAAAGCGGCUGAUGUACAGCGUCAUCAAAUGGGGGUGUGGAGAUGCUCUAGACACCAAAGAUAGUGUCGAAAAGAGGAAUGGAGAGGCGGGUAUUCACGGUGACCCCACCCCCUCUUCCCACGCUGUUGCUUCUUCGUUCAACGCCGCUUGCUGCAAGAUGCCGCGGGGUGGGGGGGUGGGGACAGUCUCUUUCCGGCUUUUUACGCGAAGGCGCGAAUCACCGGAAGGGUUUGUCAAGCGUGAUCGGUCAAGGCAGAGGGACCUGUUCCCAUGUGCCCCUUUGAGGGUGCGUGGGCUCCUACGGUUGAUGUUUUUGGGGCGCUCAAGGCUCCCUUCCCCCGUCCUCCCGCGUAAUCCGCUGUGAGGGCGCGCUUGUGUUAAUGCACUGUUCUCCGGCAGACACUUCUUUCCCACUGCACUGCUGUUCAAUACAUACAUAUAUAUAUAUAUGUACAUAUAUGUGCACACACAUAUUUUUUUUUGCCUUGUGAUGCAAACCGUCUCGCUUUCUCGCGUUGUUGCCACCGAGGGACGGGUGCGGGGAGAGGGGCGACGCAACAAG
Molecule: unclassified non-coding RNA, 1521 nt
Filed under: Leishmania donovani
Lineage: Eukaryota; Euglenozoa; Kinetoplastea; Trypanosomatida; Trypanosomatidae
Description: gene:LdHU3.34.3550(CDS-product:hypothetical_prote in_conserved)
Source: RNAcentral